This 497-nucleotide ribosomal RNA is filed under the name uncultured bacterium. RNAcentral describes it as "partial 16S ribosomal RNA". It matches the Rfam family "Bacterial small subunit ribosomal RNA", at positions 28 to 507 of the family's 1533-position model. The record is from RNAcentral.
GACGAACGCUGGCGGCGUGCCUAAUACAUGCAAGUUGAGCGCUGAAGGUUGGUACUUGUUCCAACUGGAUGAGCAGCGAACGGGUGAGUAACGCGUGGGGAAUCUGCCUUUGAGCGGGGGACAACAUUUGGAAACGAAUGCUAAUACCGCAUAAAAACUUUAAACACAAGUUUUAAGUUUGAAAGAUGCAAUUGCAACACUCAAAGAUGAUCCCGCGUUGUAUUAGCUAGUUGGUGAGGUAAAGGCUCACCAAGGCGAUGAUACAUAGCCGACCUGAGAGGGUGAUCGGGCACAUUGGGAAUGAGAAACGGCCCAAACCCCUAAGGGAGGCAGCAGUAGGGAAUCUUCGGGAAUGGACGAAAGUCUGACCGAGCAACGCCGGGUGAGGGAAGAAGGGUUUCGGAUCGGAAAACUCUGUUGGUAGAGAAGAACGUUGGUGAGAGGGGAAAGCUCAUCAAGUGACGGUAACUACCCAGAAAGGGACGGCUAACUACGUG